AUACGGAGGGCGCGAGCGUUAUUCGGAAUUAUUGGGCGUAAAGCGCGUGUAGGCGGCAGGGCAAGUCGGAUGUGAAAGCCCAGGGCUCAACCCUGGAAUUGCAUUCGAUACUGCACGGCUAGAGUAUGGUAGAGGGAAGUGGAAUUUCCGGUGUAGCGGUGAAAUGCGUAGAUAUCGGAAGGAACACCAGUGGCGAAGGCGACUUCCUGGGCCAAUACUGACGCUGAGGUGCGAAAGCGUGGGGAGCAAACAGGAUUAGAAACCCCAGUAGUCC
This 274-nucleotide ribosomal RNA is filed under the name uncultured bacterium. RNAcentral's name for it is "partial 16S ribosomal RNA". It matches the Rfam family "Bacterial small subunit ribosomal RNA", at positions 523 to 796 of the family's 1533-position model. The record is from RNAcentral.